This 301-nucleotide ribosomal RNA is filed under the name uncultured bacterium. Its description in RNAcentral is "partial 16S ribosomal RNA". It matches the Rfam family "Bacterial small subunit ribosomal RNA", at positions 509 to 807 of the family's 1533-position model. The record is from RNAcentral.
CAGUAGCCGCGGUAACACGUAGGGCGCAAGCGUUGUCCGGAAUUAUUGGGCGUAAAGAGCUCGUAGGCGGUCUGUCGCGUCUGGUGUGAAAUCCCGAGGCUCAACCUCGGGCUUGCAUCGGGUACGGGCAGACUAGAGUGCGGUAGGGGAGACUGGAAUUCCUGGUGUAGCGGUGGAAUGCGCAGAUAUCAGGAGGAACACCGAUGGCGAAGGCAGGUCUCUGGGCCGCAACUGACGCUGAGGAGCGAAAGCAUGGGGAGCGAACAGGAUUAGAUACCCCCGUAGUCCCUGUCUCUUAUAC